GCCGCCGUAGCGCGGUGGUCCCACCUGACCCCAUGCCGAACUCAGAAGUGAAACGCCGUAGCGCCGAUGGUAGUGUGGGGUCUCCCCAUGCGAGAGUAGGGAACUGCCAGGC
RNAcentral lists this ribosomal RNA (112 nucleotides) under Escherichia coli. The record is from RNAcentral. Lineage: Bacteria; Pseudomonadati; Pseudomonadota; Gammaproteobacteria; Enterobacterales; Enterobacteriaceae.